Molecule: ribosomal RNA, 253 nt
Filed under: uncultured bacterium
Lineage: Bacteria
Description: partial 16S ribosomal RNA
Rfam family: Bacterial small subunit ribosomal RNA
Source: RNAcentral
UACGUAGGCAGCGAGCGUUGUUCGGAGUUACUGGGCGUAAAGGGUGCGUAGGCGGUUGUUUAAGUUUGGUGUGAAAUCUCCCGGCUCAACUGGGAGGGUGCGCCGAAUACUGAAUGACUAGAGUGCGGGAGAGGAGAGUGGAAUUCCUGGUGUAGCGGUGAAAUGCGUAGAUAUCAGGAGGAACACCGGUGGUGUAGACGGCUCUCUGGACCGUAACUGACGCUGAGGAGCGAAAGCGUGGGGAGCGAACAGG